Molecule: ribosomal RNA, 253 nt
Filed under: uncultured bacterium
Lineage: Bacteria
Description: partial 16S ribosomal RNA
Rfam family: Bacterial small subunit ribosomal RNA
Source: RNAcentral
AACGUAGGUACCGAGCGUUAUCCGGAUUUACUGGGCGUAAAGCGCGUUCAGGCGGUUUGGCAAGUCGGGCAUGAAAUCUCUCGGCUCAACCGGGAGAGGUUGUCCGAUACUGCUGGACUUGAGGCCAGUAGGGGGACGCGGAAUUCCGGGUGUAGUGGUGGAAUGCGUAGAGAUCCGGAGGAACACCAGCGGCGAAGGCGGCGUCCUGGACUGGUACUGACGCUCAGGAGCGAAAGCGUGGGGAGCGAUCCGG